CGAACCGAUAAGCUUUCAAAACUGGAUUACAAGAAAGCGAUCCCGAGAAAGACAAUUUGAAACGAUGGAUACCCAAAUCAAUUCAGUCAAAAUCAUCCACACAGAAGAAGAAGAAGAAGAAGAAGAAGAAGAAGCAGAUUGUACUUGGGGGUAGAAGACGUGGUACGGUGGGAGAAAUGGAACAAUCAAAGAUAUGGUUGUUAGAAGCAUGUUCUGCAAACCAUCAAAUCAAAGCCAUAAAUUGGCAUCCAAUUCUCCCUCUUCUCCAUGAAUUUGCAGUGCCAAGCUGGUGGUGUGUAGAGAAUUGGAUUCUCGUCCACCUCAUUGGGGAGUAAUUCUGUUAUGUUAAUGGUUCUUAAAGAUUAGAUUGUUCAAGAUGAGUGGGAUAAUUUUAAUUCAUUAGACCUCCUGAUGAUAUUGAGGCUUGAAUUGAGCAGACACUGUGAAUGAAGGUCAUUAUCAGGUGUGAGCUCGAUCUCCUAGAGAUUAAAAUUUGAAAGGGCCAAACAUGUAAGAUAGAUGGAAGUUUCUUUUUCUUCUUCUUUUUCAUUAAAAAAAAAGAAAAGGAAAGGAAAGUGAUGUGAUAUAUUAUGCAGCAAUUAUCAAUGAAGCCUCCAUAGCUGGUAUGCCUCUGUUUUUCCAAGCUUCAGCAGCCAUUCACUCUCUUUUCAAUGCCCCAAAUAUAGGAUCAUAUAGAAAAGGGAAAAAUUUUAGUCACUAUAUUCUUAUCCUUAUGAUAUUAUUAUUUGGGUUUAUAAUUGUCUUCAUAUUCUUAUCUUUAUAUGAAAUUAUUUGGCUU
Long non-coding RNA from Benincasa hispida (wax gourd), 799 nucleotides. RefSeq lists it as uncharacterized. Lineage: Eukaryota; Viridiplantae; Streptophyta; Magnoliopsida; Cucurbitales; Cucurbitaceae. The record is from RefSeq and is a predicted model, not a curated record.